This is a long non-coding RNA of Crotalus tigris (Tiger rattlesnake), 2760 nucleotides long. RefSeq lists it as uncharacterized. The transcript has 3 exons. The record is from RefSeq and is a predicted model, not a curated record. Lineage: Eukaryota; Metazoa; Chordata; Lepidosauria; Squamata; Viperidae.
UGCAAAAAGUAGCUUUAUUCAGAACAGCUUACAUUCUGUGAUGAUACUUCUAACACCAGGACACACCAUAAUACACUAUCCCAAGUCCUUGGGAAGGACUAGAAAGGUGGAUAAAAACACUAAAUCCAGUGUGAACAUCUGGCUGAGUGUGUGAUGAACCAUAAUAUAACAUCAUAAUAUAUAUGAGGUCAUUGUUGUUUCUAAGAGAUGCCCAUGUUACUCAGCACAAAUAUUGGGGUGAGAAACAAUAUUAGCCUACAUAUUAACCAGAUGAUCAAUCAGGAACAUACAGAAUCCACCAGGCAAAUAUUUGGCAGAGAACAUCUAAUUAAUUAAAAUACUGGAUUGAAAAUUUGAAAAUUGAAGAUCAACACAUUUCAAGGGUAUCAAGUUGGAGUAUUAUUUUAAUUUGUUUCAGCUGAACAAUAUGUGGGCAAAAACAUCCAUAUUCAUCAUAUGACUUUACAAGGUUGCAUGAGAGGUUAUUAAAAUGAUGUAUGUGAAGUACAUAUUGCGGAAUGUGUUGUCAACAUCUGUAGCAUUCCCAUCACACUUGCAUUCCUAGGAACUGUAGGGGCAGUUUAGGUUAAGGCUUCCCCAAUGCCAUGUUGUAAUAAUAAUUAGAUAGUUAUGUUGUCAUCCAUUAUAUUGUGGUUAUAAAUUAGAGCAGGCAAACAAAUCCUGUGGGGGUUUUCCCCCCUACUUGUUCUCAUUCAAUUUGAUAAGAAUGCAAUUGGCUCUCAAUGUUUUCUUUCCUAAAGGUGAAGAAACGUCUGGAGAAGUUCUCAGGACUGGUCUCCUUGCACCUAAGUAGUGAGAAGGUGACCAAGGUUAGGAAUGAACACCCUCUGUCCUUCCUGGGUCCAGACUCCCUGGCUUUCCUUACGUCCAUUCAGCCCAGGAAAAGUUUUGAGGAGAGAGAUCUCCGUAGGAUUUGACGAACUGGAGGCCUGAGAAAACACGCCUGGGUCACGAAGAAAAUAUUGAUUGGGCUGGGCAUGUUGAGAACCAUCCCAAUGUUUUGGCAACUCUGCAUCAUUCUUAUUAGAGACAAUACCAGUGGAAUACAGUAAGGGUUUCUAAAUUGUUUAUGAAGAUGUAGAAGAGGAUUGGGCCUAAAACAGAACCUUGGGGUACCCCACUGCUUACUUCCCUCCAUGUAGAUGUAGUUCCACUUAGGACCGUAUGUUGAGUGUGAUUUAUCAGCCAGCUUCAAAUCUACCUGAAGGUGAUACUGUCUAUUCCACAUUUUUUAAGGUUACCAAGAAGAAAAUUGUGGUCUACUUUGUCAAAUGCCUUACUGAAAUCCAGUGCCUUUCUUACAAACCUCUCAGUGGCGUUUCAUUGACUGCAGCUGGUGGAGAGCCCAUAACCUCCAUGGCCAGAGUCAUUUCUGCACAUCUGCACAAGCCAAAUGGGGAACAGCAACCGAGGAUCCUGACGCGACUUCAUUGGGUUUCCAGGAGAGAUGCUGCAGAUUCCAUCCAUGAGUAAAGCAGGAUUUAAGUGGGCAAUUAUGAUAAAAGGAAAGAGGAGGCCAAAAGAUCUGCCAUUUUGUGGGUAAAAGGUAUCUCUGAAUGAGAAACAAUCAACUCCCUAUGAAUACGAUGUGGCCGAUCUGAUUUUCUUGUAGAAAAGCAAACAUAUAUUCAAAUAGGAAAAUAUUAAUUUGUCCUAUGAGCAACAACAUAUUCAUGCACAAUUAUUUCCGGGUACAGCUUGUUGGCUGCUCAUUUUGCACGUACGUAAGUGCACAGAUAGAAAAAAACGAUGCAACAACAGAUGGACACAAAGCACACUCACCCAUUUGUGCAGAGUAGAAUCCAAAUAGACAUGUGGAUUCCUAUGGCUGCACAAACUCACAACAGACACACAUAUGCAAAAGGCUCUCACACACAAAUAAGAAUGUGUGCACUGGGACACACCAUAUUUGUGUAUUUGAGAGCAGCCACAUUUGUGCAAAUCAUUUAUUUUGCAAGGCCCACAAGUCUCAUAUUCCACAAGGCAGGCAAAGUUCCGUACAUUUGUCUGCCUCUCCAAAAUACACCAGGAAGAGCCAAACAGCAACAAUAUGCAAGAAAUAUGCAGAAAUUCUGAAUGCUGUAAGAAUAUCUUUGUAUGGGCAUGGACAGAACACAUUGCGCGAUGCACCAGGACAUCUUUGUGGGAGUCCGACACAGAAUGCAAACAAGUAUUAAGACAACACACAGUCCUGUAAAAAUACAAAAGUGCACAUUCCAUAAAAGUAUGUACAAGUCUGCAGUGCUAAAUGUGCAAAAAACAACCCUGCACACAAGUAUAUAAUCAUGCAGAAACUUGUAGGAAAUUGGUAUGCACACACAGACACACACUGAUAUAUCUUUGUAAUUUUGCAGAUAUCAAAGAGCAAUUUCAAAGCAGCUGGGAAAAAUUGUCCCAUUCCUGCACAUUGCACAGGUAUUCCCCCCCCCCAGCUACUGUACUUUUAACCUCCCACAGCAAAGCUGCUCUUUGGGGAAACCCCCCCCCCUUUAUCUGCACAGUGCAGCAGACAGAUACAUCAAUCUCUGGGCAUGACUGGUAGAUUUUCCAUAGUUCAAAUUUAACCUGGCUGCCUCAUUUCUCCACCACAAUCCCAACACAGCUGGAGUUAUCCUUGGUAACAUUAGUCCUCUGUGCAUUGCUGGCUGGCUGCAAAACCCUUGGUUGUAGGUCUGCAGGUCUUUGGUUUUCCUCCACCUGGAAUCUGCAUUUCUUGCUGCAAAGUCAUCCCUGCUCUCU